RNAcentral lists this ribosomal RNA (253 nucleotides) under uncultured bacterium. RNAcentral's name for it is "partial 16S ribosomal RNA". It matches the Rfam family "Bacterial small subunit ribosomal RNA", at positions 524 to 776 of the family's 1533-position model. The record is from RNAcentral.
UACGGAGGAUGCAAGCGUUAUCCGGAAUGAUUGGGCGUAAAGCGUCCGCAGGUGGCUAUGUAAGUCUGCUGUUAAAGAGUGAGGCUCAACCUCAUAAAAGCAGUGGAAACUACAUGGCUAGAGUGCGUUCGGGGCAGAGGGAAUUCCUGGUGUAGCGGUGAAAUGCGUAGAUAUCAGGAAGAACACCGGUGGCGAAAGCGCUCUGCUAGGCCGCAACCGACACUGAGGGACGAAAGCUAGGGGAGCGAAUGGG